GAUGAACGCUGGCGGCGUGCCUAAUACAUGCAAGUCGAGCGAACAGACGAGAGUGCUUGCACUCUCUGACGUUAGCGGCGGACGGGUGAGUAACACGUGGGUAACCUACCUAUAAGACUGGGAUAACUUCGGGAAACCGGAGCUAAUACCGGAUAAUAUUUAGCUUCGCAUGAAGCAAUAGUGAAAGACGGUUCUGCUGUCACUUAUAGAUGGACCCGCGGUGUAUUAGCUAGUUGGUGAGGUAACGGCUCACCAAGGCAACGAUACAUAGCCGACCUGAGAGGGUGAUCGGCCACACUGGGACUGAGACACGGACCAGACUCCUACGGGAGGCAGCAGUAGGGAAUCUUCCGCAAAGGACGAAAGUCUGACGGAGCAAUGCCGCGUGAGUGAAGAAGGUUUUCGGAUCGUAAAACUCUGUUGUAAGGGAAGAACAAGUACGUUAGUAACUGAACGUACCUUGACAGUACCUUUCCAGAAAGCCACGGCUAACUACGUG
Molecule: ribosomal RNA, 499 nt
Filed under: uncultured bacterium
Lineage: Bacteria
Description: partial 16S ribosomal RNA
Rfam family: Bacterial small subunit ribosomal RNA
Source: RNAcentral